Molecule: long non-coding RNA, 773 nt
Filed under: Bos indicus x Bos taurus (hybrid cattle)
Lineage: Eukaryota; Metazoa; Chordata; Mammalia; Artiodactyla; Bovidae
Description: lncRNA (ENSBIXG00005023160.1)
Source: RNAcentral
CUCACAGAGUCGGACACGACUGAAGCGACUUAGCAGCAGCAGCAGGCAUCCUCCUCCGGGGGGCACCUGCAGCCCUAGCGAGGCCGAAGCUGAAGGUUGUCCUCUUCCCGCUGCCCUAGGAGCGCUAAACAUCCCCAGAAGAGCCCUUCGGACUUCGUGGGAUGUCCGCUUCCUGGGACCCCAGGUCCAAGGGUAGUAAAAUCGGGGGGCACUGCCAGCUUCGUUCGGGGACAGAACGUCCUCUCUGUGUUGGGAACCCGAUCGAAGCCAAAGCGACAGCGGCCCCGCACAUCUCACCGCGAGCACCCACGCCGCUGGCGCCCAGUGGGGUGUGGUCGGAUACACAGGCGGGCAGCUGCUGAAACUCAGUAGUUCCUGGAUCUUCACUAUUUGGCCCCAGGAUGGUUUCUCCCCGCCCUCAUCAGGUGCAACUGGUCUCUGCACUAUCUGCAGCCCUGCAACUACCCUGACCUGCAUGAUUCCACACCGAUUCCAGAGAACUACCAGGCUGCAGAGGCUGAAGGCACAGGCAUGGGACUUACCACGGUCAGUCUCCAGGUUGGUGCACAUCAACAGCUAGUAUUAAGUAUGCCCUUACAGGAUGCCAUCAACACUUUGAUUUGAGGUGUUGCAUCCUUACAUUUUUUAAAAAUUAAUGACAUUACUUUUCAGGACAGCUUUAGGUUUACAGGUAAAUUGAGCACAUAGUAGAGAGUUUUCACACAUACUCUGUUGUUCCUAACCCAAUUUCUUGCAUUAGUGUCAUGGCGGGG